CUUGUGCCAGCCGCCGCGGUAAUACAGAGGGUGCAAGCGUUAAUCGGAAUUACUGGGCGUAAAGCGCGCGUAGGUGGUUCGUUAAGUUGGAUGUGAAAUCCCCGGGCUCAACCUGGGAACUGCAUUCAAAACUGACGAGCUAGAGUAUGGUAGAGGGUGGUGGAAUUUCCUGUGUAGCGGUGAAAUGCGUAGAUAUAGGAAGGAACACCAGUGGCGAAGGCGACCACCUGGACUGAUACUGACACUGAGGUGCGAAAGCGUGGGGAGCAAACAGGAUUAGAUA
Molecule: ribosomal RNA, 283 nt
Filed under: uncultured Pseudomonadales bacterium
Lineage: Bacteria; Pseudomonadati; Pseudomonadota; Gammaproteobacteria; Pseudomonadales
Description: partial 16S ribosomal RNA
Rfam family: Bacterial small subunit ribosomal RNA
Source: RNAcentral